Molecule: transfer RNA, 67 nt
Filed under: Pagurus filholi
Lineage: Eukaryota; Metazoa; Arthropoda; Malacostraca; Decapoda; Paguridae
Also listed under: 1 other name
Description: tRNA-Met
Source: RNAcentral
UAAAAGAUAAGCUAAAUAAAGCUUACGGGUUCAUACCCCGUCUAUGAGGCGAUAACCUCUCUUUUAA